This 512-nucleotide ribosomal RNA is filed under the name uncultured Pseudomonas sp. RNAcentral describes it as "bacterial SSU rRNA". It matches the Rfam family "Bacterial small subunit ribosomal RNA", at positions 903 to 1382 of the family's 1533-position model. The record is from RNAcentral. Lineage: Bacteria; Pseudomonadati; Pseudomonadota; Gammaproteobacteria; Pseudomonadales; Pseudomonadaceae.
CUAUGCCGCCUUGCCACGCCCGCUCAAGUAAACUUAAAGGAAUUGACGGACCCCGCACAAGCGGUGGAUCAUGUUUGUUUAAUUCGAUGAUACGCGAAGAACCUUACCAGGUCUUGACAUCCCCCCGCGAUGCUUUAGAGAUAAAGCGGAGGUAUUCGGGGAGACAGGUGGUGCAUGGUUGUCGUCAGCUCGUGUCGUGAGAUGUUGGGUUAAGUCCCGUAACGAGCGCAACCCUUGUCCUUAGUUACCAGCACGUUAUGGUGGGCACUCUAAGGAGACUGCCGGUGACAAACCGGAGGAAGGUGGGGAUGACGUCAAGUCAUCAUGGCCCUUACGGCCUGGGCUACACACGUGCUACAAUGGUCGGUACAAAGGGUUGCCAAGCCGCGAGGUGGAGCUAAUCCCAUAAAACCGAUCGUAGUCCGGAUCGCAGUCUGCAACUCGACUGCGUGAAGUCGGAAUCGCUAGUAAUCGUGAAUCAGAAUGUCACGGUGAAUACGUUCCCGGGCCUU